RNAcentral lists this transfer RNA (55 nucleotides) under Metriorrhynchina gen. sp. A00370. RNAcentral's name for it is "partial tRNA-Ser". The record is from RNAcentral. Lineage: Eukaryota; Metazoa; Arthropoda; Insecta; Coleoptera; Lycidae. RNAcentral also lists the same sequence under 2 other names.
AUAAACACUAUAGUGCUUUUUUUAAAGUUAGAAGCUUUACAAAUAAUAUUUCUUU